UAGGUGGCAAGCGUUAUCCGGAUUUACUGGGUGUAAAGGGCGAGUAGGCGGGAUUGCAAGUCAGAUGUGAAAACUAUGGGCCCAACCCAUAGACUGCAUUUGAAACUGUAGUUCUUGAGUGAUGGAGAGGCAGGCGGAAUUCCCGGUGUAGCGGUGGAAUGCGUAGAUAUCGGGAGGAACACCAGUGGCGAAGGCGGCCUGCUGGACAUUAACUGACGCUGAGGCGCGAAAGCGUGGGGAGCAAA
RNAcentral lists this ribosomal RNA (245 nucleotides) under uncultured bacterium. Its description in RNAcentral is "partial 16S ribosomal RNA". It matches the Rfam family "Bacterial small subunit ribosomal RNA", at positions 528 to 772 of the family's 1533-position model. The record is from RNAcentral.